CAAGUCCAGCCGCGCCUUUCGGGGUGAGCGGCGGACGGGUUAUAACGCGUGGGAAUAUACCCUUUGGUACGGAAUAGCCUCUGGAAACGGAGAGUAAUACCGUAUGUGCCCUUCGGGGGAAAGAUUUAUCGCCAAAGGAUUAGCCCGCGUUAGAUUAGGUAGUUGGUGGGGUAAUGGCCUACCAAGCCUACGAUCUAUAGCUGGUUUUAGAGGAUGAUCAGCAACACUGGGACUGAGACACGGCCCAGACUCCUACGGGAGGCAGCAGUGGGGAAUCUUGGACAAUGGGGGCAACCCUGAUCCAGCCAUGCCGCGUGAGUGAAGAAGGCCCUAGGGUCGUAAAGCUCUUUCGCCUGUGAAGAUAAUGACGGUAGCAGGUAAAGAAACCCCGGCUAACUCCGUGCCAGCAGCCGCGGUAAUACGGAGGGGGUUAGCGUUGUUCGGAAUUACUGGGCGUAAAGCGCACGUAGGCGGAUCGGAAAGUUGGGGGUGAAAUCCCGGGGCUCAACCCCGGAACUGCCUCCAAAACUAUCGGUCUAGAGUUCGAGAGAGGUGAGUGGAAUUCCGAGUGUAGAGGUGAAAUUCGUAGAUAUUCGGAGGAACACCAGUGGCGAAGGCGGCUCACUGGCUCGAUACUGACGCUGA
This 645-nucleotide ribosomal RNA is filed under the name bacterium T291. RNAcentral's name for it is "bacterial SSU rRNA". It matches the Rfam family "Bacterial small subunit ribosomal RNA", at positions 58 to 749 of the family's 1533-position model. The record is from RNAcentral.